CAUUCUCUGUCCUUUAGGACUGCCUGUGGUUGUGGUGGCCCUCACCUUAGGAAGUAGUUACAGAGUGGAUGAUCCACUGGGUUACAGGCAGGAGGAAUUUUGCUGGCUUGCUGCCCUCGAUCCAAAGGGGAACUUUGACUUCAAGCUGCCAAUGUUUUGGGGGUUCCUGAUCCCUGUGGCGUUCAUGCUUAUCUUCAACACGGUGGUGUUGGUAUUUUUUGCAGUUACAACAGUACAAGACACACAUCGAUGAAGAAGAAGUUCCUCAGCAGCAUUUCUCUGGCUGUGGUGCUCGGUCUGUCCUGGAUCCUGUGCUAUCUGUUGCUCAUUACACAGAACCAGACCAUGGACAUCAUACUCAACAUCUCCUUCUGUGUACUCACCACCACUCAGGGCUUGCAGAUUUUCAUUCUGUUCACAGCAAGAACAGCAAUUGUCAAGAAAAUGAUGUCAAGUGCUUUGAAAUAUAUCUCUAGUGUUGGGAUCCCUCUUCCCACUAGGAAGUUCAGUGUAUGGCGAGGAAAGCACAGUGAUCAAGUAGAAUCAUACACACAGCAGGACACUGAUCUGUCAUUUCCUCCUUGUUCCUCACAGACAUCUAACUGAUGGGCUGCAAGUUCAACCUCGGUUGAAAAAUAUUUUAUAUACCUCCACUAUUGACCUAUAAUAUACAGUAUAAUACACACAAUUUUAUUGUGUAUUGUUACUGUGUAUUCCCUCAGAAGUUGUGUUGUCCAAGGAUUUUUUGGCUGUGCACAUUUAUGUAAAUAUUGUAUAUCCAUACUCUGUUAUUUUUUAAAUGUAACUGUUUUGAAUAAAACUGAAUAUUUCCUUUUGAAACUAA
Molecule: non-coding RNA, 844 nt
Organism: Salmo salar (Atlantic salmon)
Lineage: Eukaryota; Metazoa; Chordata; Actinopteri; Salmoniformes; Salmonidae
Source: RefSeq, a predicted model, not a curated record